GUCACCGUUGUUCAACGGUAGAAGAGCCCCCUCCUGAUUAGGACGAUGGGGAGGUCGGGGGUUCGACUCCUCCCGGUGGCG
Molecule: non-coding RNA, 81 nt
Organism: Mycena vulgaris
Lineage: Eukaryota; Fungi; Basidiomycota; Agaricomycetes; Agaricales; Mycenaceae
Source: the annotation of a GenBank genome assembly